CCCCUGGUGGCCUAGUGGGGGUUUGCUGGAUUACUACGCCGGCGACCCGGGUUCGAUUCCCAGCAA
This is a non-coding RNA of Pangasianodon gigas (Mekong giant catfish), 66 nucleotides long. The record is from the annotation of a GenBank genome assembly. NCBI's taxonomy places the organism in Eukaryota, Metazoa, Chordata, Actinopteri, Siluriformes, Pangasiidae.